RNAcentral lists this ribosomal RNA (771 nucleotides) under uncultured bacterium. Its description in RNAcentral is "bacterial SSU rRNA". It matches the Rfam family "Bacterial small subunit ribosomal RNA", at positions 8 to 796 of the family's 1533-position model. The record is from RNAcentral.
AGAGUUUGAUCAUGGCUCAGGACGAACGCUGGCGGCUGGCUUAACACAUGCAAGUCGAGCGGAAAGGCCCUUCGGGGUACUCGAGCGGCGAACGGGUGAGUAACACGUGAGUAACCUGCCCUGGACUUUGGGAUAACCCUCGGAAACGGGGGCUAAUACCGGAUACGACACACUCUCGCAUGGGAUGUGUGUGGAAAGUUUUUCGGUCUGGGAUGGGCUCGCGGCCUAUCAGCUUGUUGGUGGGGUGAUGGCCUACCAAGGCGACGACGGGUAGCCGGCCUGAGAGGGCGACCGGCCACACUGGGACUGAGACACGGCCCAGACUCCUACGGGAGGCAGCAGUGGGGAAUAUUGCACAAUGGGCGGAAGCCUGAUGCAGCGACGCCGCGUGAGGGAUGACGGCCUUCGGGUUGUAAACCUCUUUCAGCAGGGACGAAGCGCAAGUGACGGUACCUGCAGAAGAAGCGCCGGCCAACUACGUGCCAGCAGCCGCGGUAAGACGUAGGGCGCGAGCGUUGUCCGGAUUUAUUGGGCGUAAAGAGCUCGUAGGCGGCUUGUCGCGUCGACUGUGAAAACCCGCGGCUCAACCGCGGGCCUGCAGCCGAUACGGGCAGGCUGGAGUUCGGUAGGGGAGACUGGAAUUCCUGGUGUAGCGGUGAAAUGCGCAGAUAUCAGGAGGAACACCGAUGGCGAAGGCAGGUCUCUGGGCCGAUACUGACGCUGAGGAGCGAAAGCGUGGGGAGCGAACAGGAUUAGAUACCCUAGUAGUCC